ACUGGAAGCAGGCGGCUGCCACAAAUCCCUGCCCCUGGCGUCCAAACUGAUGCACCGGGGAAAAGGAGGGGUGUAUCCCGUCUUUCUGUAGUACUGUUUUAACUUAAUUAUCUUGUAAUUUACUUAAAGCUCAAAACUCUCUUCUUCCCCAGCAGCGUCCUGGCAUAGAAGGUGAUCCCGGGGCGUGGGAUGGCAGGUGAGUGACACAGGUCCUAGGGUCCUUCAUUGGGCUGAGAAUUUGGUUGGUUUUGUGGCCUCCCUGGGCCAGAGAAGGAACCAGCUCUCUGUUUCCUGCCCUCUGCUGUCGGGUCGUGCCAGCAUGUGCUGUUCCAAGGCUGUGCAUUCUUCAUAGGGCUUGUCCUUGGCAUUUGGCCCCGCAGACUCCCUUAGUUCUUGCUCCAUCCAGGUCAUGUAUGGGUGAGAUAAGGGCAGUUCCUCUUUCUGGGGCUUGCUAGAGGCAGAAUUGGGAAUCAAGCCUGAUCCAGAGUCAGUCGAUCAUUCUGUCACAGAUGUAAUUGGUUAAACUCUACGUUUACCUGCAUGUUUAUCCAAGAGCUGUGGCUCCAGACAGUAGCUGCAGGUCUCCAACAACAUGCCAGAGCAAUGGGAAGGUCUUUGAUUGCUGGGCCUCUUCUGCCCAUGACUGUCACUCACCCCUCCAAUACAUUUGUGGGAAUUGGGCUGUUGCUUGCUCGUUCAGGAUGGAAUGAGUCAAAGGUGUGUCCACAAGAGUUCAGCCCACUGCUGGUGUUAGGGGUAUGUUGUGAUGUUUUUCAGGGGUCCUGGGUGUUCCAGAGCUCACCCAUCUGAUGGAGAAACCCAGGUGAGAAGGCAGUACCCUUGUUGGAUCUCCACAGCCCAUCCCUCCAAAUCCCUUUCCCAUCAGAUCUGAAUACCGAUCUUGUGGUCGAAAAAGGAGGAAGAGUAAAAUUCAUGCUGGUCUUGGGCUCUCUGCAAGUGUGUCUUGUGCUGAGAGGGGCCACUAGGAAGACAGGCUGCACCGGCCUCCCUGGGUUGGGAAGGAAACUCCUGGUCAGGAGAAGGGAUAAACAUAGGGGGCAGGGGUGCCAUAAGGGUUGGAGGACUGGGAUUUGUUGGGUAUAUUUGAGCCAUGUAUUUACAGUGACCCAUCAGCUUCAGGUACUAAACUCUGGCUCUAUUUUUUCAGCAGUUACUCUGUGGGAAAAGGUGAGAACCUUUGAGCCCUGUCCCAAGGGCUUCAGCUUGCUUCCCAUGGGACCUGAGUUGUGGGGAAGCUGCAGUAUGGAGCCUGUCUAAGCAGAGGGUGAGCCAUCCCUGAGGGACUGCGUGCUGCGGUGCCAGACUGUUCUUUCCCAGCCUUCUCCUCCAGAAGUGGGAGCUCUGCAGAUCCUGGCUCCUUCCUGAGCAAUGAGCUCCACCAGGUGGGUUCAGCCUCCUCUGGGCUCCGCUCUUCUGCAGUGGAAGGAGAUGGAACUGGUUUGGCCCCAGCUGUUGCACAAGCUCCCAUUCACAUGCUCCACAUGGAAGAACAGUUCUCAGGAGGGGUCUGGAUAUCAAAUACUUGGAUAUAGCAGGGACCUAGUAAUGCCAAGGUGGGUGGUGGAUUUGAUCCCUGUAUGGGCCAUUCACUUAAGAACUGGACUCUCUGAUCCCUGUGGGUCCCUUCCUACUUGAAAUAUUGUGUGUGUGUGAUACAAGUUUGAAUAAACGCAAUUACUUUUAAUCCUUGUGUCUCCCGCGUUUGAGUUGCUUUGGGGUAAGGUGAGGCUGGGCUGGCUCUGAGCCAGGAAGCCUGAGCAUCUUCCAGUGGAGCUCACCAGUGCUCAGUGGCAAGUUCCUGUGCUUGCUGCAGUACUCAUCAAGGUUCCCUGGAAUGCAAAAACACACCAAACACACCUGGGCCUUAAUGGAGAUACUAGAGUAGCUCCUGCAAUCUUGUGUUCUAACACUCUCAGCUGGAGCCUUGGUAAUUCUGGUUGCCUGUUUUCUCACCAUGAAGAAAAGGUCAUGCCACAGCCUCUGAGUCAGAGCCACUCUUACUUCUGGCCCUGGAUUUGUUCAGCUGUGGUGACGUCCUGACGUCCCUGAAUCUGAGGUAACCUGGCCGCCAAGAGUACUUUGUCCUGGAAUAUUGAGCCGGUGCCUCUGACCCCCUCUGGUCUCCUACCUGCAGGCCUUGAGAGCCACUUCCCUGUGGAGUGUCUCCCAGCUCUCCCAGGAUCUUGGCUUCUGGGGGACACCGGUGAAUCUGUGUGCUCACAGCUUGCUGUCCCUGUUGACACCAAAGCCAGGCAGGGGAGGCAGCUGGCCUGUGGCAACACUAAACAACAUCCUGGUGUCAGCAAAGGAAGACUAAAUGAGUGCCAGAAUGUUACAAGGAAGUGAUUAGAGCUGAAACUGUUGCUGCUAAAGUUUGAAAUGGUGGGCUGUUGCUACGGUUUGUGUUUUGGAGUUCGGUGACUGGGAAGCAGGCAGAUGGGAAAAAUACAGUUUUAAAAACAGGGCAGUUAGAAAGGCAUCGGUGAUUUUCCUAGGUGGUUAAAAGAGCUAUGCAGCAG
This 2540-nucleotide long non-coding RNA is filed under the name Ficedula albicollis (Collared flycatcher). RNAcentral's name for it is "lncRNA (ENSFALG00000025153.1)". The stretch from base 862 to 978 matches the Rfam family "Small nucleolar RNA SNORA61". The record is from RNAcentral. Lineage: Eukaryota; Metazoa; Chordata; Aves; Passeriformes; Muscicapidae.